AACGAACGCUGGCGGCAGGCUUAACACAUGCAAGUCGAACGGUUGUAGCAAUACAGCAGUGGCAGACGGGUGAGUAACACGUGGGAACCUUCCUAGGGGUACGGAACAACUCAGGGAAACUUGAGCUAAUACCGUAUACGUCCGUGAGGAGAAAGAUUUAUCGCCAUUAGACGGGCCCGCGUCGGAUUAGCUAGUUGGUGGUGUAACGGCCUACCAAGGCGACGAUCCGUAGCUGAUCUUAGAGGAUGAUCAGCCACACUGGGACUGAGACACUGCCCAGACUCCUACGGGAGGCAGCAGUGGGGAAUCUUGGACAAUGGGCGCAAGCCUGAUCCAGCCAUGCCGCGUGAGUGAAGAAGGUCUUCGGAUUGUAAAGCUCUUUUGCCAGGGACGAUAAUGACGGUACCUGGAGAAUAAGCCCCGGCAAACUUCGUGCCAGCCGCCGCGGUAA
This 451-nucleotide ribosomal RNA is filed under the name uncultured bacterium. Its description in RNAcentral is "partial 16S ribosomal RNA". It matches the Rfam family "Bacterial small subunit ribosomal RNA", at positions 29 to 523 of the family's 1533-position model. The record is from RNAcentral.